This 441-nucleotide ribosomal RNA is filed under the name uncultured bacterium. RNAcentral describes it as "partial 16S ribosomal RNA". It matches the Rfam family "Bacterial small subunit ribosomal RNA", at positions 338 to 795 of the family's 1533-position model. The record is from RNAcentral.
CCUACGGGUGGCUGCAGUGGGGAAUAUUGCACAAUGGGGGAAACCCUGAUGCAGCGACGCCGCGUGAGUGAAGAAGUCUUUCGGGAUGUAAAGCUCUAUCAGCAGGAACGAGACAAGACGGUACCUGACUAAGAAGCCCCGGCUAACUACGUGCCAGCAGCCGCGGGAAUACGAAGGGGGCAAGCGUUAUCCGGAAUCACUGGGUGUAAAGGGAGAGUAGACGGCUGAGCAAGCCUGAAGGGAAAGGCGGGGGACCAACCCCCUGACUGCUUUGGGAACUGUACGGCUGGAGUGCAGGAGAGGUAAGUGGAAUUCCUAGUGUAGCGGUGAAAUGCGUAGAUAUUAGGAGGAACACCAGUGGCGAAGGCGGCUUACUGGACUGUAACUGACGUUGAGGCUCGAAAGCGUGGGGAGCAAACAGGAUUAGAUACCCCUGUAGUC